RNAcentral lists this ribosomal RNA (253 nucleotides) under uncultured bacterium. RNAcentral's name for it is "partial 16S ribosomal RNA". It matches the Rfam family "Bacterial small subunit ribosomal RNA", at positions 524 to 776 of the family's 1533-position model. The record is from RNAcentral.
UACGUAGGGGGCGAGCGUUGUUCGGAAUUACUGGGCGUAAAGGGCGCGCAGGCGGCCUUAGAAGUCAGAUGUGAAAGCCCCGGGCUCAACCUGGGAAUGGCAUUUGAUACUCUGAGGCUGGAGUACGGGAGAGGAGAGUGGAAUUCCCAGUGUAGAGGUGAAAUUCGUAGAUAUCGGAAGGAACACCAGUGGCGAAAGCGGCUCCCUGGUCCAGCACCGACGUUCAGGCACGAAAGCGUGGGGAGCAAACAGG